Molecule: transfer RNA, 67 nt
Filed under: Urocitellus parryii (Arctic ground squirrel)
Lineage: Eukaryota; Metazoa; Chordata; Mammalia; Rodentia; Sciuridae
Also listed under: 1 other name
Description: Spermophilus parryii (Arctic ground squirrel) tRNA
Rfam family: tRNA
About the family: Transfer RNA (tRNA) molecules are approximately 80 nucleotides in length. Their secondary structure includes four short double-helical elements and three loops (D, anti-codon, and T loops).
Source: Rfam by way of RNAcentral
GGAGUUGUAGCUCAGUGGUAGAGCACUUGCCUCGCAACUAUGAGGCACUGGGUUCAAUCCAGCACCA